This 210-nucleotide ribosomal RNA is filed under the name uncultured organism. Its description in RNAcentral is "partial 16S ribosomal RNA". The record is from RNAcentral.
CGCAGUAGUUGCCGGAUUCCCUGGCGGUGGACCGCUGGCUUUGAUUCCAGUACGCAUUCGAAGCAUUUCCGAUUCAACCGGGACAGACAUAUACGGAAAAUCAGAAGUGACACGGGAGAUCUAUUCAAUUUCUGCUGACAUUAAGCAGGGAGAUUCUGGUGCACCAAUGUUUGCCUUAGAUACCCUGGUAGUCCGGGCGUACGUACGUUA